This 1529-nucleotide long non-coding RNA is filed under the name Equus asinus (donkey). RNAcentral describes it as "lncRNA (ENSEASG00005025078.1)". The record is from RNAcentral. Lineage: Eukaryota; Metazoa; Chordata; Mammalia; Perissodactyla; Equidae.
GUCACUGAGUAACUAGAUAGGGGAUGGGAGAAAGCAUAUAUUUAUAAAAGUGCUCCAGCGGAUGGAUUAGUAAGUGAAAAAGAAAUGACAGAACGAGAAUAUCACCAUUUGGCAGCCCCCUUUGGAUGAAUUCAUCUCAGCAUCCAGCAUCAGCAGCUGCUGUGACCACAAAAAGAGAGACAAGGCAGACAUCACAUGGCUCGAUGAGAGAGCAAACGGGCACCCAGAACCCUGCCCAGGAUCAAACCCGAGCUGGCCCAGCCUCUGCACCCAAGCUGCCCGUGUGCAGGAAACACAGAGACGGGCCGGUGACCUGCCCAGCAGUGUGCAGUCAGCAAAGUCCCCUGCCAGGAGGCGUGCCGGUCAAAUUCUCAGAGAAGCUGUAAGCAAAGAAAGGUGGAGGGGGAGCCACAGCAUAAGGGACUUAAGAGACGCGUCAGAUUUGCAGGCAGGCGGUGCCACACUGUCAUGUCUGAGACGCCACGGAGGCGAUGAGCCUACAGGGAAACAAGGAUGCGAUUCCUCUGAAAGUCAGGGUAUGAAGAGGAAGGAACACGGACCAGGAUGGCGCCGAGCGAGGGGCCUUGGGGUGGCUGGCGGUGUCCUGUUUCCCAGCCUGGAGGGUGGCAGCUAAGGUGUUCACCUUACACCUCUUCAUUAAGCUCUGAUCACUUGGUGUGGUUUUCUGAACCUGUGUUUUAUUUUAUGACGGAAAAGUUGAAAGAGAAGAAGAAAAUAAGAAUAGCAAUUUUAAAAUUCACAUAUUAUGAAUGCCAUAAAGGGCUUUGAGAGUCAAGAGCAGUUUGCAUCAAGCAGCAGCACAAUGGCACAAAGGAGAGCCCGACCUGGGAGCUGCCCCUGGGGUCCGAAUCCCUGCGUGGCCUCUCACCAGCUGUGCGGCCUAGGCAAGUCAGCCUCUUUGAGUCCUGAUUCCUCACCUGUAAAAUGGAUGUCAUUAUGGUCUCUACCUCACGUGUCCUCCUGCGGGUUCAAACAAGGUGACACACUGAACGUUUAGAACAUUGCAGGCACACAGUGAGCGCUCAAUGCCUGUCGGCAUCCUAUUUCUUCCUGUUUCUGAAAACAUGCCUUUCUCUCCUAGUGGUUCUUCUCACACACUGCAGCUGUCUCUCUUUCUUAAAAAUCCCUGAUGGCGUGGGUGGGGGUGGGAACACGGUGCCUCUCCUGUCCUUCUGCCCUUGUUCCCCAUUCUGUUUGAAGACCCUGGAGGAGCUGUCUGGCGAGGCAGGGAUGGAAACGUCCCAGGCGGGCAGAGUCAGAACCUUUCAGUGGUGAGAGAGGAGAGAAGGGACUUUCCUCGUCUGCCACUGGAUCCCAGUGUCUAGAGCAUUGGUGGAGCUUUGGAACCUGGCAUGUGGUUACACCUACAGCACAGCUCGGUCCAGAGUAGCCACACUCCAAGAGCUCAGUGGACGCCUGGGCUAACGGCUGUGGUGCUGGAUGGUGCAGCUUCGGGCAACAGAGGUGCACGCUGUGAGAGACAGAUUUCCACUUCUGGAAAACAAAAU